UGGGGAAUUUUGGACAAUGGGCGAAAGCCUGAUCCAGCAAUGCCGCGUGUGUGAAGAAGGCCUUCGGGUUGUAAAGCACUUUUGUCCGGAAAGAAAUCCUUGGCUCUAAUACAGUCGGGGGAUGACGGUACCGGAAGAAUAAGCACCGGCUAACUACGUGCCAGCAGCCGCGGUAAUACGUAGGGUGCAAGCGUUAAUCGGAAUUACUGGGCGUAAAGCGUGCGCAGGCGGUUUGCUAAGACCGAUGUGAAAUCCCCGGGCUCAACCUGGGAACUGCAUUGGUGACUGGGCAGGCUAGAGUAUGGCAGGAGGGGGGUUAGAAUUCCACGUGUAGCAGUGAAAUGCGUAGAGAUGUGGAGGAAUACCGAUGGCGAAGGCAGCCCCCUGGGCCAAUACUGACGCUCAUGCACGAAAGCGUGGGGAGCAAACAGGAUUAGAUACCCUGGUAGUCCACGCCCUAAACGAUGUCAACUAGUUGUUGGGGAUUCAUUUCCUAGUAACGUAGCUAACGCGUGAAGUUGACCGCCUGGGGAGUACGGUCGCAAGAUUAAAACUC
Molecule: ribosomal RNA, 556 nt
Filed under: uncultured bacterium
Lineage: Bacteria
Description: partial 16S ribosomal RNA
Rfam family: Bacterial small subunit ribosomal RNA
Source: RNAcentral